AAGGUGCCUGCAGUAGGGCAUAACCAGGGCAUCUUGCCUGAGCCCAGUGACCCACCUGCCCUGUCCUUCCAGGGUUCAGUGGUGGGGAGGGCCAAGAUUCCCCCAUGUCCAUGACACAUCAGUGUUUCACAUGGAUCCCAUCACAUGGGUCCAUGGUGGGAGAGCAAUCGUGAGCUGGCAUCCUCCAGCCCCUUCCUGCAUGGAUGAGUGAGGUUCCAUUUGGACACAUGUCCACCUCCUGUCCCCCAGAUGGUGAGACUGGAAGAAAACUUUCAUUGGGCUCGCUGUCCCGGGGCGAGUGGUCAUCAGUCAGGUGACAGCCCUUGGUGUGGUGAAGCUCAGGCUCUUCCUAUUGUCCUGGUCUCCUGCACUGAGCUGUGUGAGCUCUUCUGCCCAGGUGGGCCCCUGGCCUUGAGCAGCAUAGAUGGUGACCCAGGAAGAAGAAUUGCUUUGGGCCCACUUGUCCCCGGGCCAGUGUCCCUCAGCCAGGUGCUCAACCCCUGGUGAGCUGAAGCUCAGGCCCUUCCUAGUGCCCUGGUCUCCUAAACAGAGCUGUGUGAGCUCUUCGGCCCAGGUGGGCCCCCUGACAUUGAUGCGCAUAGAUGAUGACCCUGGAGGAAGACUUGUGUUGGGCUCAAUGUUCAGGCCAGUGGCCCAAAGCCAGGUGCCCGGCCCCUGGUGUGCUGAAGCUUGGGACCUUCCUAGUGACCUGGUCUCCUGCACUGACCUGUGUGAGCUCUUCCACCCAGGCAGGGCACCCUGGCAUUGAGCGGAAUAGAUGUUGAGCCUUGAGGAAGACUUGCAUUGGACCCAUUGGCCCCAGGCCAGCGUCUGUCAGCCAGGGUCCCCCUGGUGCACUGAAGAUGGGGCCCUUCCUGGUGCCCUCGUCUCCUGCAUUGAGCUGUGUGAGCUCUUCUGCCCAGCAGCCUUCCUGGCAGUGACCAGCAUAG
Long non-coding RNA from Pongo pygmaeus (Bornean orangutan), 950 nucleotides. RefSeq lists it as uncharacterized. Lineage: Eukaryota; Metazoa; Chordata; Mammalia; Primates; Hominidae. The record is from RefSeq and is a predicted model, not a curated record. The transcript has 8 exons.